RNAcentral lists this small RNA (625 nucleotides) under Drosophila pseudoobscura pseudoobscura. RNAcentral's name for it is "GA30999". The record is from RNAcentral. Lineage: Eukaryota; Metazoa; Arthropoda; Insecta; Diptera; Drosophilidae.
CUAUUGCAUUACUGAGAGAGUGAGAGAGAAUGCGAUCGGAGAGUGGAGUGGAUCGUGAGGUAGAGGGCGGUCAGAGCUGAUUUGGUGUUGUUGAGCGGCAGAGCAGCAGAGACAGGGUGAAAACAGAGCAGAGCAAAGGCAGAGCAGAGGGGAAUCGAAGCAAAUUCAGUCAGCGUUAGCCGAGGCGCAGAACCACACGAGGAACUUCCCUUGCAGAUGGCAGGCAGAGAGAGCCACCGAUGGCGGAAGCCGAACGAACUUGCAGUCAGGGCAAGCGAGAGAGCAGAGCAGAGCUGCAACCACGAUGAGGGCUACUGAAGAGACACCCAAAACCGAAAACCCAAACCCAAAACCAACGCGAACCGCACCCAAUCAAUAUGCUGAGGUCGGCCAAAUGGGGUCUCCGAAUGUAGGCCAGUGGAGCACCAUUCUGGGGAGUCUUGCAUAUAAAUGUAACUAGAUUUCCGACCACCUACCCUAUCCCUUUCCUCUCCCUCUCUCCACCACCAUCUCUCUCGCACUCUGUCCUCCACAAAUUUCUGUCUACGUUUCGCCUUGUCUUUCUGCAGCUCUCCACGUUUUUUUUUUGCUCCAAUUCAGAGUUUAAUAAAAUAUUUGCUUUUGA